This is a long non-coding RNA of Pollicipes pollicipes, 395 nucleotides long. RefSeq lists it as uncharacterized. The transcript has 3 exons. The record is from RefSeq and is a predicted model, not a curated record. NCBI's taxonomy places the organism in Eukaryota, Metazoa, Arthropoda, Thecostraca, Pollicipedomorpha, Pollicipedidae.
GCUGGGGCCGCGCCCGGCCGUGGCCGGCGUCAGCGGCUUGCGCGCCACCUAGGGAGCACCAGUGCAGCCCACAGCUCCUGCCAACCGGGCUGAUGCCGCCUACGCCGCUGGCGGCACUUCUGCUACUGCAGCGCCUCUAUCGACCGCCUGACAUACUAGCAGUUCUCUUCUACGCCGCCCUGCGUGUCAACGGGCACUGCGUGUUCUCGGCGUACAGGAUGAUCAUCCGAGCUGAGCUGGAGCUGCGUCAGCUGAUGGCCGGCCGGCCAUGGCUAGAGAGGUGCGCCGACAAAGCCACCACGAACGGCUUCCGGCCAGGCUACGGCUGAUGUCUGGCCACCGCAGCACGAAAGCGAGAGGAUGGCCUACACGCACGUGGGAAGAUGGCCUAUACA